GUGAGCUGCCCUUCAUACCUCAUGCCCUUGAAUAAUGCAGCGUAAGUGUGUUUAUUGUGCCAGCUCUUCUUGUAGUUUUAUUCUAAUCCCUCGUCUCAGGCAACAUUUGUUUUGGCUGCAGUUCGAUACUUCCUCCUUCAGAGCUAUGCUUGGUUUUACCUCUAAUUCUGUGGCCCUCAGGGGCUGGUUGUACUGAUAAACUUUUACAAGUAAAAGGAGCUGUGGAGAUGACCUCCAGCUGGGGCUGAAGGCCUAUACAGCAGCACCUUCUUGCUGAAGCUAAGUGAUCCUCUUGGGGAGGAGGGUUGGGGGUCCAGGGCCCCUGAAGUCAGGAUUCCCCAGUGAGUUGGUCAAUGUGGACUUAGAUCUUGUUGAAAUAUCCAGAAGUAUUUCUAAGUAGAAUAUUUUUGAUCACAGAAACAAGGUAAAUAUUUUUGUCUUCCUUCAGUGGAGGACUUUGGAGCUCUCAGGUGGCUGCUCUCCAUCCCAGGCCUGGCUGUAGGAGGCUACCUGGGUGGGGUGCAGGCCCAUGCCUGGGGUCCUGGCUCCAGAGGCACCACAUGCCACUCAGUGAGGAUAAGAAUCCAUUCUGCAGCUUCUUUCAGCCCCACAUCAAUAAAUGGAGACAGUGGGAAGGGAGCUGUGCUACUUUGAAGGAUUUGGGGGCAGACUAAGAAGAAAACACAUGUGAAAGUGCUUUGUAAGGAUGAGUGCAUGGCGGGGCGACGAGGGGCGUUGGAGGCACAUGCAGCUGGGUAGGAGUUGCACUUUGGUCAUUGGCCAGUUAUGUGGCUUUGGGAACUGUUCAGACUUCUGGAUCUUGGCUUCCUUUUUUGUUAAGUAGGUGAUGAUAGGGAUCUCAUUGGGCUGCUGUGAGGAUGAGGUGUGUUUACAGUGCUUGGCAAAGAGUGGGGCUCCAUGCACAUAACUCCAUUUCCUCUACAUCUACAUUGCUCUGCAAACGAAGGGUGCUAUGACAAUAAACCCACCCCAAGGCCAAAGGAGGGGCGUGCUGGGGGUGGAGAGGGAUGGCUGGGAACUAACUAGCCGGCAUCAGCAAAGGAGGGAUUGUUUUGGUCUUUGUAGGAAAUUAGGAGGAUUGCCUUUCUCAUCUAUUACUUCCAAUGAGUUCUGAUGUUCUGGGGAAUCUUCUCUGAAUGAAUCCUGGUAUUGCUUCAUUUAUACUAUAACUCUGUAGUAUAACUAUAUCCUGUGUAAUCCAAGCCAAAGAUAGAGGGUUUGGGGACGACAGAUAUUUCAACAAUAGUCACUGAGGCAAGGAAUUGUGGAUUCUAGGAUGAGGCAGCAGGUGAAGGGCUUUGGUGCCCACACAGAGGAGAAGAGGGCAACUGGAGCGAGGAAAUGUCUUGCUGUCCUGCCGUUUAGCUCUGGAAGUGUCUCUUGGGACAAUCUUGGAGAAACGUCAACUGAAGUGCUAGUUUAGUAGCAGGGUAGCUGAGUCCUAGCAGUGUUUCGCAUUUCUCCAGUGAAAGCCCUAGAGGACUUGGAUGUCCCCAUCUCUAAAGACACCGGUGGCGGCAGAGGCCCAGCUUCUAAACACUCAGGGUCACACAGGCAUUGGUGCUUGGUAAACGUUUUCUUAUAUAAUUUCAAAGCCAUCUGUGACAUGGCUGUAUCAUCCCCAUUCUACUAGUGAGAAAACCAAUGCCAGGGGAUGGAAAAACAACUUCCUUAUGGUCACACUGCCAGUCAGUGCCUGGUGGGACCCAAGCUGGGCCCCAAUCCCCCAUGUCCCCCUUGGCACCUGUCCUGCUUUAGGGAAGAUGGUCUGUGGUCAAAGCUUAAUCUUUGCUUUGAUAAAGGAUUAAUUCAAAUUUUGGAAUGAAAAGAAGAGAUUUUGAAGCCCUAAAACUGUACUGUGUGACAAAACUCCUGUUCUUGGGAUAUGGUGGCAGAAGUAAGGGAAAGUGUCAGAAAAAGUCCCGCAAGGUGAGAAAAACUGAAAAAGAGACCCCUUUCCUAUAGAGGCUCACGAAGGGGAAAUUGCAACUGUGCGACCCUGUCUGCUAGCUUUCUCUGUCACUUCAUCCCCCAUUCCUGUUGCUGUGUGCACUUUUAUCCAACCCUCUUAAUGUCCAUGGCUGCGCUACCAGCAAAAUCUAACCCCAUCUGCUUGGCUAAGCUUCUUGCGCUCACCUAUACCUGAGGAGUACGACAUCAGGCUUCAGGGCUUAUUGAAGUCAUUACUCACAUCAUUGCACUAAUCACAAACAGAAGUGAAAGUUGUAAAUUGUAUAUAAUUACAUUUCAUAGAGAAAAAAGUAGAUUUAAAAAUGGCAAUUAAUAUUCUUAAUAGCCAAAAGUUAUUGCUAAUUAAUAAGAAAAACAUAAGCACUCCAAUUGAAAAAAAAUGAGCAAAGGUCAUAAAGACAUAAAACUCGCCUGUGGAAACAUACGUAGAGGAAACACAGAAUUAGUGAGUGUGUGUAUGGAAAUAAAUGGAAGGAUAAUGCUUGCUACCCAGUGUGGGCUUUGGGGGUAGAUCUACCUGGACUGAGUUCUGGAUUCACUAUUUACUAGCUCCAUGACCUUCAGCAAAGUAACCUCUCUAAGCCUUUGUUUUUAUCUGUAAAAUAGGGAUACUUAUUUUCCCUGCCUUGAGGGGUUAUUGUGAGGAUAAAAGAAAAUAAUUCUGUAAAGGGCUUAGUAAAGUGCCUGGUGCAGAGAAAUUUUUCAGUGCAGAUUAGCAAUUGUCACUGCUAGUAGUAUAUUUGCAUUGAUAACAAUUAGUAAUUUAACAUCUCACUGAAAUCAAAGAAAUGCAAUUAAAACAACAAAUACAUAUUAUUUGUUACUUAUCAGAUUGGAAAACAGGUGAAAAGAUUGACAGUAACCACUGUUGGUUAGAUGUGGAGAGAUGGGUUCUCUUGUGCAAUUCUGGGAUGGUAGGACCUGAUGCCCCAUUUCUGCAGGGCAAUUUGGCAAUAUACAUUAACGUUGAACAUUCUGAUAGUUUUUGACCCAGUCAUUCUUCUCUCAGAAACUUAUUCCUGGGAGAUAACUGAACAAAUGCACAAUAAUGAAUAUAUAAGAAUGUUUAUCCUGGCAUUUUUUUUUAUAGAAACAAAAAUUCAGAAGCAACUUAAACAUCCUUCAGUGAGAUUGACUAAUAAGUCCUGCUUCAUUUUUAUGACAGAAUGCUACUACUAAUAGCAGUGUUCUAGAUUUUCAUCCACCAUCAUGGAUAAAGCUCUCCGUCAUGUGGAUGGAAUCACUGCGGUAGGAGGAUUCCUGAGGCAUUACCUGGAUAGUCUCAUCUGGCUGGACAUGCAGGAGAACUGGGAGACUGCCGAGACUGCCACGUGGGGUGACUUGAGGGAUCUUUGACACUCUCUGUCUUAAUCUGUUUUGUGUUGCUAUAACAGAAUACACAGACUAAGUAAUUUAUAAAGAAAGGAAAUUUACUUCUCACAGUUUUGGAGGCUGAGAAGUCCAAGACUGAGGGGCUGGCAUCUGACGAGGGCCUUCUUGCUGCUUCAUUCCACGGCAAAAUGGCAAAGAGAAGUAUAAAUAAAAAUUCCAAAAUGCCUUACAUAAGCCUUGUCCUAUGAUGUGCACCACAUUUAGCAAACACUGUUCCGUUUGAGCCGCACAACAACCCUUCAAGGCAGGCGAAGUGAGACUGAUUAUCCUCAUUUUACAGAUGAGAAGAAAGGCUCAAAGGGACGGUGGGACUUGACUGAGGACCCAGCACCUCCUGGACCUGAAUCAAGGCCCUCUGUCCCGCUGCUUUUGUUGUUGUUUACCCUGCAACUUCACAGCCCUUCAGAAGGCCCUGGACAUCAUGUGCAAGCUCCGUGGAUGGCCUGAGAUUCAUCCUUCCAAGUUGUUUUCUGACUGAGAGGCAACAUUUUAAAUUGUGAUCCCCCCUUACCCCACCACACACACUGAAACAAAAGUUUCAAGAAGUCAUUACCACACAAUGACUCAGAUAUGUUCUAGUCUAGUCUGUCUAUUCCAUUCCAUUCCAGUCUCUUUCCAAACGAAAAUAAAAGGAAGGAAAUGCUGCAUGCGACUUGGUAAGUUAAUUUCAGGACACCUUGGGACUGCUUCCUGCUGCAUGAGGCAUCAGCACACAGCAGGGGAUAUUUUGCAUUCCUGUGUGCACCGUGGGUUAGACAGGCUGCUUGGCCCUAAGUGGAGAAUGGAACUCCAGUAGAAAGGCUGAGAUGCACUGCAAGUAACCACUGCAGAAAGGAGAGGAUGCCCACAGGCAGGCUGAAGUGGACCCGUGUGGAAGGAACACUUCAAGACCACUGGCCAAGAGACUUCCUUCAUUUUUAUCCCUUCCUGUUUUUCGCCUGUGCUGAGGAUUCACCACCAGUGUGGGGAGCCUCUGACUGUAAAAGGAAAGCUGACUCUGGCUCCUUCGUGUUUUCUGUUAAGUUGGGGCCUAAGUUUUUCUGCCAGCCUUUGCGGAGGAAAUGCAGCUUCCCUGGCACACUGCCCGGUCAAGGGACGUUGAAUCCAUUGCAAUCAGCAGUUGAAGAUCCACACUACAGGCCAUGUUCUUAAAAUAAGUGGCUCCAGGACUUCCAAGAGGCAGAAGGGGCUUCAGCUGGCCAUGGGCAGGAUCCAAGUGGAGCUUCAUCCCUGCAGAGCAAUGCCUGGCUCUCAGCGGAGGCAGUCUGGAGCAGGGCUUCUACCCUUUUCAGCUCAUAGAUUACUUUGGAAUCUGAUGAACACUGGGAGCCUUCUCCUUAGAAGAACAUACAUAUGCACGAGAAUGAGACAAUUACAUAACAUUCCUUGGGUUUCACAGAUGCUGAAGCCAAUGACUUGCUUGAAGCCUGGAAGAGGGUGUUGACCUGGAGAAUCCUAAAGGCCAAAAUUUAGAGAAAAUGGUGCCAGUAAAUGAAUUCACAAGGAGAAAUGCUUCCUUGCCAACUCACUUCUCCAGAUUAUUGAGUGCAUCUAUCUGUUUGCUUUUGGCUUCACGCAAUUGGCCCUCUUCAGUUCCGUACUCUUUCCUAAAUACCUUGCAAGUUUUCCUCUUCUCUCAUGCCAUUUAUAAUAUGCUGACGCCUGAUUAGAGGAAGGAAGGACUCAGCUGCACUUGCACUGGGGGAAGGGCCACUUACAGGAAGCCUACCUGGGGCUGAGCUGGGUCUCACUGCCUCCUAGACCUAAGGGCCCCAGCUUUUCCCUCAUCUCUUGUUGCAGCCACCACUUGUUCUAGAUCUGCAUCCAUAUCUGUAAAAUGGGGGUGAUAAUACCUUCCCAUAAAGUCACUGUGAGGAUUAAAUGUCCGGCACAAUAUUUGAUGCAUAGUGGUGCUGAAUAAUAUUUAUUGUCAUUACUAUCAUUAUUAUUGGCUGCUACCUUCAUUUUGAAAUUCUAUCCAUGAGCUACAUUAAUUAACCUGCAUUCAGUGUCAGGAUGUAUUUCUUAAUUUAGAUUUUUAAAUUUUUAGAGCAUGUGGCUAACCAUGAAUGUUGCAUUUUCUCAGUACCUAUUUAUUCAUAUGAAACUAUAGGUCUGGGCUCAGAGUUCAUCAAUAUUUAUAGAGAAGGCUCUACCUGUUGAGCACUGUGCUAGGCAUCCCCAGAGAUGCUGGCCUACUUCAUGCCUUAGGCAGCCCCACACGUGAGCAUUACUAACCCAUUGCUGCUAUGAGAGCAUUCAGAAAGAAAGCAGUUUAAGUUGCUUGACUAAACUGGUAGAGUUGAAAUUAAACUCUGUCUCUUCAUGUUACUGGACUGCUUGGAUAUCUACUUUCAGAAAGACUACAGCUUGAUAUAAACAUUGUAGUUUUGCUCAUGGAAAACUUACAGUAAAUCUGGGCUGUUUCAACACAACUGUCAAACUGUUCACCUACAGCUGUAUUUUCUCUUGCAAUGGGUGAAUAAGGUACAAUGAUGGUUGUACAGACCAUUACUAUUAUUACCUGUUAAUUUACAUUUAAACAGAUUUAUAAUUUCUGGCCCUGAUUUCCAGUCCAGUAUACAGCAAAAAUCCAUAUUUUAAACUAAAAAUAAUGUGCUUUUCAUAAAAUCAUAAAGAAACCCACCUGGCUAUUGUCUGGGGACUUGCGAGAAGGAUCCUUUGUAGUUUUCUUCCAUGUCUUCUAAGGAAUAGUUUGGAACACAUAGUAAAUAGUCAAUUAAUACCAAAGGGCAUUUGCAAAACUAUCAACUCCCAGUUUAUAUAAAGGACCAGCCACCAGAAUUAUACAUGAAUUAAAAAGUUAGCACACCAUAGUCAGAGAAGGACAACUUGGGAAUAGUUGUGUAACAGCCGUGAGGGUAAGCGAAGGGUCUGUCUACCUGUGCCUUCCCAGAAUACUGCCUCUCUUCUGGUCUGCUUUGGGAACAGUCAACAGGAAAGAAAAAGUAGACAGAUAGAGUCAGUGCGCUGAAUAAAAGAAGAUUCUAGAUCACUACAAGAGGCUUGUCAUUUGAGGCAAAGUGUCUGAGAGAGGAAGGUUUUUAUGGCCUCAAUGGGGAGACUGGUCACUGAUAAAGCGUUCUGGAUCUUUUGUGGGCCGGAAGAUAAGUUGAGUUUUGGUUAAUGUUUAAUGAUGCAGAACAAAAGUCAUAAAUAGUCCAUGAGAAAUAAGAGCACAAAUGAUUGGGAUUGGACAGUUUGCUUAUUCAGCUGCAAAAUGUGCUGUGUUCUAUUCUUGUCAUCCCCCCAUGGUAUAACAAAAUGCAGUGUGACAAGGAAUAUAAAUGUCCCCUAAUGCAUGGGCAGCUUUUUCUGUUCUAAGAGAGUCAGCAUGAGUCACUCAGCAGGUGAAAAAUGUUUAAUUUAGAGAAAAUAGGAUAAAUAGCAAUAGCUUCC
This 6804-nucleotide long non-coding RNA is filed under the name Homo sapiens (human). RNAcentral describes it as "HSALNT0099497". Lineage: Eukaryota; Metazoa; Chordata; Mammalia; Primates; Hominidae. The record is from RNAcentral.